GGACACAAGACCUCUUGUUUGGUGAAACCCAUGUCAUUUUCUUCUUAGCAUCGCUAAAAAAAAAUGAGGCAUCAGAGAGAAUGUGGUAUCUGCAUUUAAACAUUGGACUUUUUUUGUAUAGCCAUGUUGUUGUUGCUGAUGCUGUAAUUGCUUCUGUUUGUGCUGUUUGCUAUUAUUGGUGCUGUUGGGCUGUUUUAUGAACC
RNAcentral lists this long non-coding RNA (203 nucleotides) under Nicotiana benthamiana. Its description in RNAcentral is "long non-coding RNA (NBEN_LNC041188)". The record is from RNAcentral. Lineage: Eukaryota; Viridiplantae; Streptophyta; Magnoliopsida; Solanales; Solanaceae.